AUAAAUUUUCAAUUUUUUCUGACUUCAUUUGGUAUUUUUCAUGCAUUUACUUACUUUUUUGAGCUAAUUGACCAUGAAAUUGAAAAGCACUAGAAAUGAACUCUGAAAAGGUUGAAAGUUGGCAUGGUAUCAUAGUUUCACCCACAUGGCAUGUGCUAAAAAGUUGAGAGAGUUACGAUAAAAAUUGGAUGCACUUCAUGUACAAACUGGAUCAUCCUUCGAAGUAUCAAGGUUUCAGACGAAAACCCAUCUGCUACAAAGGCAUUUUAUUAAAAU
This 276-nucleotide long non-coding RNA is filed under the name Hordeum vulgare. Its description in RNAcentral is "long non-coding RNA (HVUL_LNC020492)". Lineage: Eukaryota; Viridiplantae; Streptophyta; Magnoliopsida; Poales; Poaceae. The record is from RNAcentral.